Mytilus trossulus (common blue mussel) is the source of this 686-nucleotide long non-coding RNA. RefSeq lists it as uncharacterized. The transcript has 3 exons. The record is from RefSeq and is a predicted model, not a curated record. NCBI's taxonomy places the organism in Eukaryota, Metazoa, Mollusca, Bivalvia, Mytilida, Mytilidae.
AAGCAUGUAAAAUAUCAACGUGGUUGCACACUUUGAAUAAAUUAAUGAUUUACAUGACUAUAAAAAAACAUAAUAGGAUCAGAUUCAACAAUUUAGAAAAAAAAUACGAGCAGAUACGCUUAUCAACUGUCAAUUUAAUUGAUGAUGUCACCAAUUAUAACAUGCAUCUUGUUUGUGUUGAUGUGUCGUGCAAGUAAUGGAACCACUGGAUUUACAGCAACAUUACCUUUAGGUUUUAACCCAGUUGCGAUAAACAGUAAAGUCAAUUACAAUCAGAUCCUUCUUAACAAAGGCGGAGACUAUACCUCAGGUCUUUUUACGGUUAAAACGAAAGGUCUUUACCACGUGUCUGUGUCCAUGAUGUCAAGCCUUAUAACCUCCCACCUUACUCUAAGAAAGAAUAAUGGUAUUUUGGUAUGGCUAUACACUUCUAAUGAAUAUGAUAUGGCUUCCCAAGUUAUCAACCUUGAACUGGAUGUAGCAGACGUGAUAAGUGUACAUGUGAACACUGGGUCGAACAUUUGGAGUGUUUAUAACACUUUCAGCGCAAUUUGUAUAGGCCAAGGUAGAGGAGGAGGUUAAAAUUGGGCUACACUUACAGGUGAAGAUGUAGUAAGCUAAACUAUGUUACGUUUGAAACGAAACAAAUGUAAGCAAUAAAUGCUCAUAAAUACACUUCUCCAUUU